GAGCCCUGGGAGGCUC
Molecule: unclassified non-coding RNA, 16 nt
Filed under: synthetic construct
Description: RNA (5'-R(*GP*AP*GP*CP*CP*CP*UP*GP*GP*GP*AP*GP*GP*CP*UP*C)-3') from synthetic construct (PDB 1KIS, chain A)
Source: RNAcentral